RNAcentral lists this ribosomal RNA (632 nucleotides) under uncultured marine eukaryote. RNAcentral describes it as "SSU rRNA". It matches the Rfam family "Eukaryotic small subunit ribosomal RNA", at positions 613 to 1258 of the family's 1831-position model. The record is from RNAcentral.
UUGCAGUUAAAAAGCUCGUAGUCGGAUUUCAGUAUUAGGCCCUUCUUCCAAUACGGUUGCUAGUGGUCUUUACUUCCUUAACAGAAUCUUUCAUUUUAUUAAUUUAAAGUGUUUGGGGCCUGUUUCUUUUACUUUGAGAAAAUUAGAGUGUUCAAAGCGGGUUUUCGCCUGGAUAUUACUCUUGGAAUAAUAAUAUAGGACUUUGGUUCUUUUUUGUUGGUGACUUAGAACCGAAGUAAUGAUUGAUAGGGACAGUUGGGGUCAUUCGUACUAUGAAGCGAGAGGUGAAAUUCAUGGACCUUUGUAUGACGAACUACUGCGAAAGCAUUUGACUAGGAUGUUCCCGUUGAUCAAGAACGAAAGUUGGGGGAUCGAAGACGAUCAGAUACCGUCGUAGUCUCAACCAUAAACUAUGCCAGCUAGGGAUUGGAGGAAGAUCAUUUUACGUCUCCUUCAGCACCUUAUGAGAAAUCAAAGCAUUUGGGUUCCGGGGGGAGUAUGGUCGCAAGGCUGAAACUUAAAGGAAUUGACGGGAGGGCACCACCAGGAGUGGAGCCUGCGGCUUAAUUUGAUUCAACACGGGAAAACUUUCCAGGUCCGGACAUGGGAAGGAUUGACAGAUUGAAAGCUCU